RNAcentral lists this ribosomal RNA (149 nucleotides) under uncultured bacterium. RNAcentral's name for it is "partial 16S ribosomal RNA". It matches the Rfam family "Bacterial small subunit ribosomal RNA", at positions 356 to 504 of the family's 1533-position model. The record is from RNAcentral.
GGGGAAUAUUGCACAAUGGGGGAAACCCUGAUGCAGGGACGCCGCGUGAGUGAAGAAGUAUUUCGGUAUGUAAAGCUCUAUCAGCAGGGAAGAAAUACUGACCUUACGGUCAGCAGACGGUACCUGACUAAGAAGCCCCGGCUAACUAC